GCUAAUUUGGCAGAUUUAAGUGCUUUAAAUUUAGAAUUUAAUAAUGUAUUUUUACAGUUAGUA
This 63-nucleotide transfer RNA is filed under the name Lycorma delicatula (spotted lanternfly). RNAcentral's name for it is "tRNA-Leu". Lineage: Eukaryota; Metazoa; Arthropoda; Insecta; Hemiptera; Fulgoridae. The record is from RNAcentral.